UACGUAGGGUGCGAGCGUUGUCCGGAAUUAUUGGGCGUAAAGGGCUCGUAGGCGGUUUGUCGCGUCGGGAGUGAAAACCAUGGGCUUAACUCAUGGCUUGCUUCCGAUACGGGCAGACUAGAGGUAUGCAGGGGAGAACGGAAUUCCUGGUGUAGUGGUGAAAUGCGUAGAUAUCGGGAGGAACACCAGUGGCGAAGGCGACUACCUGGCCUGUUUCUUGACGCUGAGGCGCGAAAGCUAGGGGAGCAAACGGG
This 254-nucleotide ribosomal RNA is filed under the name uncultured bacterium. Its description in RNAcentral is "partial 16S ribosomal RNA". It matches the Rfam family "Bacterial small subunit ribosomal RNA", at positions 524 to 776 of the family's 1533-position model. The record is from RNAcentral.